AGUGAACGCUGGCGGUAGGCCUAACACAUGCAAGUCGAACGGCAGCACAGUAAGAGCUUGCUCUUACGGGUGGCGAGUGGCGGACGGGUGAGGAAUACAUCGGAAUCUACUUUUUCGUGGGGGAUAACGUAGGGAAACUUACGCUAAUACCGCAUACGACCUACGGGUGAAAGCAGGGGAUCUUCGGACCUUGCGCGAUUGAAUGAGCCGAUGUCGGAUUAGCUAGUUGGCGGGGUAAAGGCCCACCAAGGCGACGAUCCGUAGCUGGUCUGAGAGGAUGAUCAGCCACACUGGAACUGAGACACGGCCCAGACUCCUACGGGAGGCAGCAGUGGGGAAUAUUGGACAAUGGGCGCAAGCCUAAUCCAGCCAUACCGCGUGGGUGAAGAAGGCCUUCGGGUUGUAAAGCCCUUUUGUUGGGAAAGAAAAGCAGCAGGUUAAUACCCCGCUGUUCUGACGGUACCCAAAGAAUAAGCACCGGCUAACUUCGUG
Molecule: ribosomal RNA, 492 nt
Filed under: uncultured bacterium
Lineage: Bacteria
Description: partial 16S ribosomal RNA
Rfam family: Bacterial small subunit ribosomal RNA
Source: RNAcentral